Molecule: ribosomal RNA, 333 nt
Filed under: uncultured Methanosaeta sp.
Lineage: Archaea; Methanobacteriati; Methanobacteriota; Methanomicrobia; Methanotrichales; Methanotrichaceae
Description: bacterial SSU rRNA
Rfam family: Archaeal small subunit ribosomal RNA
Source: RNAcentral
GUCAGUUCGUACUGUGAAGCAUCCUGUUAAGUCAGGCAACGAGCGAGACCCAGCCCACAGUUGCCAGCGUACUCUCUGGAGUGACGGGUACACUGUGGGACCGCCGCUGCUAAAGCGGAGGAGGAAUGGGCAACGGUAGGUCAGUAUGCCCCGAAUAUCCCGGGCUACACGCGAGCUACAAUGGUUGGUACAAUGGGUAUCUACCCCGAAAGGGGACGGGAAUCUCCUAAAACCAAUCUUAGUUCGGAUUGAGGGCUGCAACUCGCCCUCAUGAAGCUGGAAUCCGUAGUAAUCGCGUUUCAACAGAACGCGGUGAAUACGUCCCUGCUCCUU